This 91-nucleotide transfer RNA is filed under the name Paracoccus aerius. RNAcentral describes it as "tRNA-Arg". The record is from RNAcentral. Lineage: Bacteria; Pseudomonadati; Pseudomonadota; Alphaproteobacteria; Rhodobacterales; Paracoccaceae.
AGCGGCGGCUGAUCCGGCGCAAUUCGGGCCUGCGCCGCCUGGCGACAAGUGCCUGGGCGACCGAGGAGCAGUUCGACCUGUUCCGGCGCUA